This 72-nucleotide transfer RNA is filed under the name Astyanax mexicanus (Mexican tetra). It matches the Rfam family "tRNA". Rfam says of the family: Transfer RNA (tRNA) molecules are approximately 80 nucleotides in length. Their secondary structure includes four short double-helical elements and three loops (D, anti-codon, and T loops). Further hydrogen bonds mediate the characteristic L-shaped molecular structure. tRNAs have two regions of fundamental functional importance: the anti-codon, which is responsible for specific mRNA codon recognition, and the 3' end, to which the tRNAs corresponding amino acid is attached (by aminoacyl-tRNA synthetases). tRNAs cope with the degeneracy of the genetic code in two manners: having more than one tRNA (with a specific anti-codon) for a particular amino acid; and 'wobble' base-pairing, i.e. permitting non-standard base-pairing at the 3rd anti-codon position. Lineage: Eukaryota; Metazoa; Chordata; Actinopteri; Characiformes; Acestrorhamphidae. The record is from Rfam by way of RNAcentral.
GGGGGUACAGCUCAGUUGUAGAGCUUUUGACUGCAGAUCAAGAGGUCCCUGGUUCAAAUCCAGGUGCCCCCU